GGCGAUUCUGGCCGAUAUGGACAGGACAAGAAUUUUCUCCAUUCUGGUUACCCUGCUGAUGGGGGGGCUGAUCAUCUGGCUGAUCGCUU
This 89-nucleotide transfer RNA is filed under the name Desulfovibrionaceae bacterium. RNAcentral describes it as "tRNA-Arg". The record is from RNAcentral. Lineage: Bacteria; Pseudomonadati; Thermodesulfobacteriota; Desulfovibrionia; Desulfovibrionales; Desulfovibrionaceae.